UCUUCCCUUCAACAAACCUGCAACCCAAAACCUCCCAAGAGAAAAGGAAACAGAGGCAGAAAAAUGGAGAGAAGGGAGAGUGUGCCGGCCAGGGAGAGAGAGCUCGCUGCCGCCACAGUCGACCACGCCUGCCGCCUCGCCUCCGCGCCACCACGCCUCGCAGUCGAACCCAUUUUCGCUGCUACCACCGUCACGGAGAAGAGGCGUCGAAGAAGGGCCGAGCUCGCGCCUCGUCGCUGCCGUCCUUGGGGCCUCGAGCUGCGUCGCCGUCCUUGGUGACCCACGAACCGAGAUCACACGCGCGGGGUGGAGGACGACGCUGUUGUCGCCGCUGCUUCUCCCAACGCCGCUACUGCCCGUUGAAGCCGACACCGUCGCGGGUAAGGACUCAGGCGAGAGAGAGGAGGUCACAAAGAAGAGAGCCGCAUCCAGUCCCUGAAGCCGCCGCGCCUGGCCUCGUCGGUGAAGCCAUGGCUGCCGUCAUCGGAAUAGAGGGCGAGAGAAAGACAGAGAGCUCGCGGUGGGGGAAAAGACAGGCGCCGCCGUGCUGCACGAAGCUAUCGCCGCCGCUCCUGCCGCCGGUAAGCCUCGGUUAGCAUCGCCGAAGUUCUGGCCAUCACCAUUGUUGAGGAAGCUCACCGGAGUUGCUGGAGGCUGUCGCCGCUCUGCCUGGUUGUGUUGAGUCGCGCCGCCGUGCCUGGUCGCCGGAAAAAUCCGCUGCAGUCACCGAAAAACUCUGCCGGCGCCAUUGCCGGAGUCCUGUCACCGCUACUACUUGAGGUGGCUGCCGAGCUGCUGCCAAACCGGUCCGGAAACCGCCGCUGUUCCGGUUUAGCUGUUCCUUCUUAUUUGCGAGUUGAUGUGGUUACUGCAAAAGUGAGCAAAGCUGUGGUUCAAGCUGCCGGUGAUUGCGGGAUGAGGCGAAAAGGACUCUGUGAGACGUUUGGGUUAUGGAUUUGGGUUUUGAGGAUUUGGGCGCAGAAGUUAUGAAGAGUUUAAUUAUUUGUUAUUGAGAUGCUCUGUAUUGCUUUAGAUUAUUAUUUUUGUACGCUCGCCUUUAUCUUGAUAUAUUCUGUAAGAGGGAUAGGAAUUGUACUGGAUAAUGUUUGUAAUAUUAUUUAUAUAUAUGUAUGUAUAUAUAUAUGGAUGUACUCUUUAUGAGUUUCUGUAAGUUGUAUGGUAUGUAUGGACGUACGUUGUAUGGCGAAAGUAUUUUUGGGAAUGGUAUUGCGGUUUAAAAUUUUAAAUAGGCUCAUAUUUUAGUAUUAAAUAGUAUAAGUGUCAUCGUAAUGUCCGAGCUAUCAGAGUUGCGCAGCCGGAAGCGUGAGCUUUGGUAGUUAGGGUGUUACAUUAUGGUAUCAGAGCAGUCCUUCCUGUAGAGCCUGAGGAGUGGACCGACUAUGCUUCAGUUGCAUACUCUGAGCGUUUGCCAUGUAUUAGGUCUUGUCGAAUGACGAGAAUUAGAGCUUUAUGCACAUGACGGUCUAUUGAUUAACGAUGUUAGUCUUGCAUUGCAUAAUUCUUGGUAUUAAGUUUGGCCGGCUUAAUACUAGUGAAUUUUGCAUAUGAAAGCACUAAUGAGUUAUCAUAGAUGAAAUCCGAGUUUUGAGUUAAGCGAAUCGCAGGUUUUGGGAACGUUGAAAACUUUUCUCGAGGCUGCUCAGUUAUGUGUCUUGAAUUCUGUUCGAGUCGACCUAUUCUUUCGUAUCCUAACUUGAAGUUCUUGGUUACUAAUCCUUUUGAACAGUAGCUUGAUUUUUCAACUUUAU
Arachis duranensis is the source of this 1769-nucleotide long non-coding RNA. RefSeq lists it as uncharacterized. NCBI's taxonomy places the organism in Eukaryota, Viridiplantae, Streptophyta, Magnoliopsida, Fabales, Fabaceae. The transcript is spliced from 4 exons. The record is from RefSeq and is a predicted model, not a curated record.